RNAcentral lists this ribosomal RNA (483 nucleotides) under uncultured bacterium. RNAcentral's name for it is "bacterial SSU rRNA". It matches the Rfam family "Bacterial small subunit ribosomal RNA", at positions 30 to 507 of the family's 1533-position model. The record is from RNAcentral.
AUUGAACGCUGGCGGCAGGCCUAACACAUGCAAGUCGAGCGGUAGAGAGGUGCUUGCAUCUCUUGAGAGCGGCGGACGGGUGAGUAAUGCCUAGGAAUCUGCCUAGUGGUGGGGGAUAACGUUCGGAAACGGACGCUAAUACCGCAUACGUCCUACGGGAGAAAGCGGGGGAUCUUCGGACCUCGCGCCAUUAGAUGAGCCUAGGUCGGAUUAGCUAGUUGGUGAGGUAAUGGCUCACCAAGGCGACGAUCCGUAACUGGUCUGAGAGGAUGAUCAGUCACACUGGAACUGAGACACGGUCCAGACUCCUACGGGAGGCAGCAGUGGGGAAUAUUGGACAAUGGACGCAAGUCUGAUCCAGCCAUUCCGCGUGCAGGACGAAGGCCUUCGGGUUGUAAACUGCUUUGUACGGAACGAAAAAGCUCUUACUAAUACUAGGAGUCCAUGACGGUACCGUAAGAAUAAGCACCGGCUAACUACGUG